This 1144-nucleotide long non-coding RNA is filed under the name Equus caballus (horse). RNAcentral describes it as "lncRNA (ENSECAG00000059893.1)". Lineage: Eukaryota; Metazoa; Chordata; Mammalia; Perissodactyla; Equidae. The record is from RNAcentral.
UGAGCAGUGGGACACAGAGGGCAUAGGGGUAUAAUUUGAGUACUUAAUAUAAUAGCAGAGAAAUGUAUGUAUUACGGGGGUAAGCACCAGUGGAAUGGAGAAGCACCAAAGAGUUUUGGAAGUACUCAGGAGGAAAAGAAAAGAACAGAGAGCAGCCUGGCCUCACUUCUCAGCAGGGCUGUCACAGUGCCCUCCCCUCCCUUCCUGAAACUCCUUCUUUGGCUUUUGCGACACUGCGCUCACCGGCUUUUCCCACUGGCUGCUCCUUCUCCCUCUCUCUUAGUGGUGGUUGGUGCUACACCAUCUUUUCUUCCCUAGCUAUAAUCCCCUCCAGGUGAUUUUAGCUAAUCCCAUGGCUUUAGUAGCAUGGCCGGGUUGAGGGCCAUGUCUCCAGCCCUGACCUUCCCUGAGCUUCAGACCCAGACUCUACAGCCUAUUUAACAUCUUGGAAGCCAAGAUUAACAUGUUCCCAGACUGUCAAAGACCCCAGCUCAUCCUGCACGUUGCAAAGGACCGUGGGGGGAUCUGUGCAGCUGCAACUGACCUCCUCCUCGUCUCCUGACAUCCGAGAGAUUGAGUGGAUUCGGGAUUCUGGUGAUGAGAGAGAUUUGUUUCUGGUGUCCUGGAAACCUAAUACCUCUAAUCCUGAAUGGUACGGGCUUGAAGAAAAAUACAAGCACAGAUUCAGCCUAACAGAGCUGGCGUUCUUGAUCAUCAGAAAUCUCAGUAUGCAAAUAAGUGAACUGUAUACAGUGAAAAUCAAGUUCCGGUCAGGAAAAUCCCAGGAGGAAGCCUUCAGGCUCUGUUUAUAUGGAUAAUGGCACUCAGGAAAAGUCCAACUCCACACAGGAUCUGGUCCCUGCCUGCCUCUCCAGCCUCAUUUCCCAGCACAUUCCCACAGGGCCAUGCUCCAAAUUAGCUACCCUUCACUCACCCACCGGGCCCUUUCUCUUCUCCUGAACAUAUGCUGGUGGCUCUCCAGGGGACAUCCAUCUCCCAAGCUUCCCCUGCACAACUGGCAAAUCCUCACCUAGUGGGAGCAGAUAAGGGGUGAGGGACUCCAACUUAAGAGAUGGGAACGCUUGUAAGAAGAGACUGGGGAGACUGGCUUGGCUGUCCAAGCUGGGGUUUUCAGUUGGUGAAG